Molecule: ribosomal RNA, 256 nt
Filed under: uncultured archaeon
Lineage: Archaea
Description: partial 16S ribosomal RNA
Rfam family: Bacterial small subunit ribosomal RNA
Source: RNAcentral
UAAUACGAACCGUCCAAACGUUAUUCGGAAUCACUGGGCUUACAGAGUUCGUAGGCGGCGGAGAAAGUAGGGUGUGAAAGCCCUCGGCUCAACCGAGGAAUAGCGCCCUAAACUACUUCGCUUGAGGAGGCUAGAGGUGAGCAGAACAGAUGGUGGAGCGGUGAAAUGCGUUGAUAUCAUCUGGAAUACCGGAGGCGAAGGCGGCUCACUGGGACCUUUCUGACGCUGAGGAACGAAAGCUAGGGUAGCGAACGGG